GACGAACGCUGGCGGCGUGCUUAACACAUGCAAGUCGAACGGAAAGGCCCUGCUUUUGUGGGGUGCUCGAGUGGCGAACGGGUGAGUAGCACGUGAGUAACCUGCCCUUGACUUUGGGAUAACUUCAGGAAACUGGGGCUAAUACCGGAUAGGAGCUCCUGCUGCAUGGUGGGGGUUGGAAAGUUUCGGCGGUUGGGGAUGGACUCGCGGCUUAUCGGCUUGUUGGUGGGGUAGUGGCUUACCAAGGCUUUGACGGGUAGCCGGCCUGAGAGGGUGACCGGCCACAUUGGGACUGAGAUACGGCCCAGACUCCUACGGGAGGCAGCAGUGGGGAAUAUUGCACAAUGGGCGGAAGCCUGAUGCAGCAACGCCGCGUGCGGGAUGACGGCCUUCGGGUUGUAAACCGCUUUCGCCUGUGACGAAGCGUGAGUGACGGUAAUGGGUAAAGAAGCACCGGCUAACUACGUG
This 468-nucleotide ribosomal RNA is filed under the name uncultured bacterium. Its description in RNAcentral is "partial 16S ribosomal RNA". It matches the Rfam family "Bacterial small subunit ribosomal RNA", at positions 28 to 507 of the family's 1533-position model. The record is from RNAcentral.